This 174-nucleotide small nuclear RNA is filed under the name Zea mays. RNAcentral's name for it is "U2 spliceosomal RNA". It matches the Rfam family "U2 spliceosomal RNA". Rfam says of the family: U2 is a small nuclear RNA (snRNA) component of the spliceosome (involved in pre-mRNA splicing). Complementary binding between U2 snRNA (in an area lying towards the 5' end but 3' to hairpin I) and the branchpoint sequence (BPS) of the intron results the bulging out of an unpaired adenosine, on the BPS, which initiates a nucleophilic attack at the intronic 5' splice site, thus starting the first of two transesterification reactions that mediate splicing. Lineage: Eukaryota; Viridiplantae; Streptophyta; Magnoliopsida; Poales; Poaceae. The record is from Rfam by way of RNAcentral.
AUACAUUUCUCAUCCUUUUGGCUAAGAUAAAGUAUAAUAUUUGUUCUUAUAAGUUUACUAUUUGAUAUGUGGACUAUAUAUUCACUUUGAUAUUAAAUUUAUUUUUUAUAAAUAUCAAAUAUGACUGUGUCAUCGUAAUACACAUACAUUGUACUAGUGACCUAUGAUCACGAG